RNAcentral lists this unclassified non-coding RNA (538 nucleotides) under Hevea brasiliensis (rubber tree). The record is from RNAcentral. Lineage: Eukaryota; Viridiplantae; Streptophyta; Magnoliopsida; Malpighiales; Euphorbiaceae.
GAUCUUACAAAACAAAUUAUAGUUAGGCUAGUUAGAUGGGAAGGAUUCAGAUUCAAUUCAUUACUAAUUUUUAUUGCACAAAGCAAUUUGCAAGAAGUUGUUGCGCUGACUUGUAUGGUUCUCUUAUUUAGAGAGCCUUACUCUCAAAAAAAUUUUAUAGCAUUAUUGCAGAUAUAAGAUUGCUAUACAUCUUCAAGCAUGAUUUGAAAUAAAUGCUGGAAAAAUAUCAUCAUGGUUUGUCUGGCCAUGUAGUUGUCGAGAUUAUUGCAAAUGAAUGCAGGAAAAAUAGGAUAUCAUUCUAUCCUUUUGUUCUGAAAUUUGGCUUAUGAUAAUAAUGUAGUGUACUCUGGGAAAUGCUAAAUGUUGUUAGCGUGUGUUUUUUGUUAUAACCUAAACAAAAACACUGUAGCAUUGUUUUUAGGUGACUCAUUCACCAGAGGGCAUGGAUACCCUACGCUAUUUUCUCUUUGAUUUUUGUGGAGUUGGUGCAAGCUGGAACAUGGAAAAUUUGGUGGAUGAAGAAAUCAAGGUGAUCAAA